AUCAGCCGCGGUAAUUCCGGCUCCAAUAGCGUAUAUUAAAGUUGUUUGCAGUUAAAAAGCUCGUAGUUAAAUUUCGGGAUCAAUAUGUUGGUCGUGCCUUGGUACGUACUAGUUUAUUGGUUUCUUCCUUCUGACAAACCAUGGUGUCAUUAAUUUGAUGUCAUGGGGAAUCAGGACUGUUACUUUGAAGAAAUUAGAGUGUUUAAAGCAGGCUUCACAUUAGCAUGGAAUAAUGAAAUAGGACGUUUGAUUCUAUUUUGUUGGUUUCUAGGAUCGACGUAAUGAUUAAUAGGGAUAGUUGGGGGCAUUAGUAUUCAAUUGUCAGAGGUGAAAUUCUUGGAUUUAUUGAAGACUAACUACUGCGAAAGCAUUUGCCAAGGAUGUUUUCAUUAAUCAAGAACGAAAGUUAGGGGAUCGAAGACGAUCAGAUACCGUCGUAUUCUUAACCAUAAACUAUGCCGACUAGGGAUUGGAUGAUGUUAAUUUUUUAAUGACUCA
RNAcentral lists this ribosomal RNA (498 nucleotides) under Glomus sp. Glo19. RNAcentral describes it as "SSU rRNA". It matches the Rfam family "Eukaryotic small subunit ribosomal RNA", at positions 569 to 1078 of the family's 1831-position model. The record is from RNAcentral. Lineage: Eukaryota; Fungi; Glomeromycota; Glomeromycetes; Glomerales; Glomeraceae.